GAUAUAAUUAAGAAGAUUAUUUGAUUACUGUAAGCCGAAUUAUUGAGAUGGGACCAUUUAAAUGUGUGCCAAAAUUUAAAUUGCUGCAUAUUAGCUGUCCUUCAUAUUUGUCUUGCCAGUCACACUGGGUGGAAUGGCAGAUACAUACAGUGGCAAUUCCUCUUUAAUUGUAGAAGAAUGAAUGAUCUUGUGAAGUAAAAGAAUUGGGUAUACAAAAUGACUAUGAAGUUUCAAUCCAAACCAUGAAUUAACCUAGCUGUUGAUCAUGUUCAAAAUCUUGUUCUUGUAACAUUUUCCGCAGUAUUUCUUUAAAGCAUUAUUCGUCAAAACCCAGAAAGAAAAAAUUAGAAAAAAAGAGGAAGAGAAGUUCAUCUAGCUUAGAGAAGUUCAUCUAGCUUAUUGCCAAUACACAAAGAUAUCCAAGAAUCAAGAUUUUGUUCUUUCAGUGAAAUCCAGCUAUAGAUUGGAGGAGAGGAAUGGGUCAAUUGGCUCCAAAAACAUUGGAGGACAAAGUAUUUAAAUACAUUGUUUCACUAACAGUGUUCGGAAAUGUAUGUUCUCCUAAGUCUUAGGUUGUAUACUGUUGUCUAAGGUGCCAAUCUUUCAUGUU
RNAcentral lists this unclassified non-coding RNA (610 nucleotides) under Hevea brasiliensis (rubber tree). The record is from RNAcentral. Lineage: Eukaryota; Viridiplantae; Streptophyta; Magnoliopsida; Malpighiales; Euphorbiaceae.